This is a long non-coding RNA of Prionailurus viverrinus (fishing cat), 494 nucleotides long. RefSeq lists it as uncharacterized. The transcript has 3 exons. Lineage: Eukaryota; Metazoa; Chordata; Mammalia; Carnivora; Felidae. The record is from RefSeq and is a predicted model, not a curated record.
AGAAAGCCCAGGCAGAGCUAACAACAAAUGUUAACGUUGGAGGCCCUGUGCAGCACUGGUGUCUCCCUCCCUCUCAUGAUUUUAAUGAGGCCUCACUCCAGCCAAGAAAAAAAGAAAUCUUCUGGCUUGAAUGGUUUCUCGAGUGAAUUCUAACAAAUAUUUAAAGAAGAAAUAACAUCAGUUCAACACAAUCUCUUCCAGAAAAUAGAAGUGAAAAGUUCCCAACUCAUUUUAUGAAGGUGGCAUUACCCUAAUGUCCAAACAAGAUGAAGACAGCAGAAAAGAAAACUACUGACCAAUAUCGCUCAGGAACAAAGAAACAAAAAUCUUAAAGAAGAUACUGGAAACUUGAAUACACAAUGGCUAUGAAAAUAAUAAUAUACCAUGACCAAGUGGAGUUUAUCCCAAGAAUGCCAGACUGGUUCAACGUUCAAAAAUCAAUCAACGUAAUCCAUCAUGUUAACAGACCAAAGAAGAAAAUCCACAUGAUUAUA